RNAcentral lists this long non-coding RNA (1768 nucleotides) under Helianthus annuus (common sunflower). The record is from RNAcentral. Lineage: Eukaryota; Viridiplantae; Streptophyta; Magnoliopsida; Asterales; Asteraceae.
AUGUAAUUUGACCUACACUUUUUCAGACGGCAGACGAAGCAACAGAAGUUCUUACCAUAAUCUUCACCUGUUUCUCCCAAAUUUGCCCCCAAUUCAUUCUCAGUCGCCAAAGAGUCCGAGCAAUUAUUAUAUGUACAAUAAUCAAUCAGCUGCAUAAUGAAUUGGAGUAUACGAAUCAUCAAACAGUUUGUGAAAUUCAUCAUGAUGAGAGUAUACGAACCGCUAAGGUAAUCAAUUGUAUUGAAUUGCACCAGCAAUCGUUCCCUUCUCCUCUCCAACAAAACCAUCCCCAUCAUGAAGAUAACUCACGAUGUUCAGAUCUAGGGUUCCGGCUCUUCCUUGUCUUCUCCGAACUCAGGUCUCGAAUUGCAACCCUGUAAUGACAAAUUACAGGAGAACGAUUGGAUGUACUGAAGAUAUUAAUAAUUGAUGAAGUGAUAUCUUGUGCGGGGAUUCAAUGAGAAUUUAGGGAUGUUUGGAUUUCGAUUUUCAACUCUUGUUAUGCUGUUUAUAAUGCAAUGCCCAAAGCAAAUAGGGAUGAAGUCUAAAUUAUGCAGGUUUUUUUUAAUUAUCAACUGAUUUCUUAUGUUGAUGUUUUGUAUAAUGAUUUAAAUUAAGAGAAAAACAAUAAACCUCAGUUCCUUGGAGGUUAUCAGCUUUGAUAUUACAUAAUAUUUUUCUACUUUAUUAUUUUAAUAUUAAUUGGGUGUCAUCAACAUGGAUUGUGUGCUGGUUGAUUCUAAUUGGGAUGCAAUAAGCGCCUCUAAUAGGGCCAUGUUUCUGUUUGGUGCCACAAACUCAUCUCAUAGUUGUAUUGCCGAGGAAGUUAGAGUGGUCCGGGUUUGUGAUGAACUCACAGUUGGUAUGGAACACAACUGAAUUUAGGCCGGAUUGGAUCAAAGAUUUGGACGUGGUGGUGGCCGCGGAUGGAGAGGAUGAUAUUGGGAGUCCUCUUUCUUUGGUUAAGGACGCAAUCUCAAUUCGUAUUGUUUUCUGCAUUACUAAUUUCAUUUAUUAUAAAAUGAAGGUUUCAUGGUAAGCUCCCUUUUAGGAGGUGCUUUUGUUGGAUCUUCAGUCAGUGGCUAGAUCGCUUACGGGGUUGGACGUCGAAGAGGAUUCCAAUUGUGUGCCAUACCACUGAUAGUCGGUGCUGUAAUGAGUCCCACAUCAGAUGAUCUUGGGGGUAUGCAUAUUGGAAGGUUUCUUGUUGGAAGUGCAAUGGGGGUUAGCCCUCCUAUCGCAGCUCUGUACAUUAUAGAGUCUUCACCGGCUUUUGUAAGAGGAACUUACGGAAGCUUCACUCAGAUCGCAACGUGUCUUGGACUUAUUUGUUUUUUCUUCAUCGGGAUCCCAGCAAAGGAUGUUACGCGUUGGUGGUGGGUCUGCUUCUGGGUAUCUACCGUUCCGGCAGCCUUGCUUGCUCUUCUAAUGGAGUUCUGUGCAGAAAGUCCCCAUUGGCUUUUUAAGAGAGGAAGAAGUGCAGAAGCUGAAGCAAAGUUUGCAAAGCUCCUCGGAAGCUUACAUGUCAAGUCUGCAAUGGCAGAAUUGUCCAAGUCAGACAGAGGGGAUGAAGUAGACGGAGUAAAGCUUUUAGAGUUGUUCUACGGAUGCCAUUUCAAAGGUGUGUGUGUAUAUAUAUCACCAUAUUCACUAUACCUUUUUCCCAAUUAAAGUACAUGUUUUUUAAAUUUCAAGUUGAUGCUUUGCUUUCAUAUAUGUAUAGUUAAAGACGAAUCUUUUAAAUUUCAAGUUGAUGAUUUGCUUUCUU